UAAUUCCUCGUUCCAAUAAAUGUAUUUCAAAUACAUGGAGUUCUGCUAUACUAUCAAUCCUAUAAUCUCACUUAAAUACUGCAUCAGGAACGAUACGCUCAUUUCCAGGAGCGUGUCGCACGCGAAUGGAAUGUUCGAUACGGAUCUUCCUGUUUUCACAUCUCUUUCAGUGUCAAUCUUAGUGUCGGUAACCUCGACAACCAAGUUCGCCAAAGCAUGUAAAAUAUACGUGCUCUAAGCGAUCAUCGUAAACGUAUCUCAAUAGAUUUACCGCGACACGGAUCCGUACAGAACAAUGCUGUAUUUAUUGCCGACUAAAUAUAAUCCGGAGAGCAUUCGCAGAGACAAACUCGACCAACAGUAUAAAACCGAAUUCUCUUUCUAAUUUUGAGACUUUGACGGUAGCAUCAUGUGAACCGCAACUGUUUCGCGCAUGCGCCGAUUACACAAUUGCUUGAAGAUUGUUAUAUAAACUGGAAAAUAGUUAUAGAAUAUAGCGAAAACUAGUUCAAAAAGUGAGUUCUAGAAUUAUAAUUGUUUAUAAAAAUCUUCGUAUACUCUAUGAAAAGAUUAAUUUUAUCGAUAUAAAAUAUUAUUAAACUUUAAUACAACAAUUAUACCUUUUAUAAGACAAGAGAGAAGAAAUUAGAUAAAACUUACCGUUUUCAUAAUUCUUUUGGCUGAGAGAAAAAUUGUGAUUUACAUCUGGAGGAUCAGCAUUAUCGAACAGGUCAGAAGAUAAUUGUCUUUGCAAACGAAUCGUUUCAUGCGUCAACUCUCGAACCUGAAUGAGUAGCUCCUGAUAAUUUGAUACCGGAAGCGUCAUUGCUAUUGCACUCUGUUGUCUUCACUGCGCCUUUGCGCUCAAAUUUUAAAAGAAUAGCCAUCCGAUUUGAAUUCUGUAACAAAUGAAUAUUGUUUAUUAAUAUAAAAUAUAUCUUGCAAAAUCUUAAUCACGUAAUUACAAA
Molecule: long non-coding RNA, 968 nt
Organism: Apis cerana (Asiatic honeybee)
Lineage: Eukaryota; Metazoa; Arthropoda; Insecta; Hymenoptera; Apidae
Source: RefSeq, a predicted model, not a curated record